This 332-nucleotide unclassified non-coding RNA is filed under the name Hevea brasiliensis (rubber tree). Lineage: Eukaryota; Viridiplantae; Streptophyta; Magnoliopsida; Malpighiales; Euphorbiaceae. The record is from RNAcentral.
CCGACAUAUGCCUUUGCCAGAGACAAUUGCAAGUCAUCUGGAAUUCACAGAAUUUGAUAGGAUGAAAGUGGAAAGACAGAUAUCAGCAUCUCUAUAUGCCAUGAAUGGGGUGCAGGAGUACAUGGAAACAGUUCAUGAUCCUAUUGAAGCUUUCUGGGAUCUCCCACCAAUAUGUUAAUUACCUUAAAAGAUUGGCCGCCAAGUUAGAAGAACAGACACCAGUUAGAGAUAGAGGUUGAAAUCUUGUUGUCUAUAUUUGUUCUCCUGCUGUUUUGAAAAUGUUACAGCAUAAUUUACGGGAAGUCACCUCUAGUGUUUCUAGAAAGUCUUCA